UACGGGGGGAGCAAGCGUUGUUCGGAUUUACUGGGCGUAAAGGGCGCGUAGGCGGCGCAACAAGUCACUUGUGAAAUCUCCGGGCUUAACCCGGAGCGGCCAAGUGAUACUGUCGUGCUAGAGUGCGGAAGGGGCUACUGGAAUUCUCGGUGUAGCGGUGAAAUGCGUAGAUAUCGAGAGGAACACCUGCGGCGAAGGCGGGUAGCUGGGCCGACACUGACGCUGAGGCGCGAAAGCAUGGGGAGCGAACGGG
Molecule: ribosomal RNA, 253 nt
Filed under: uncultured bacterium
Lineage: Bacteria
Description: partial 16S ribosomal RNA
Rfam family: Bacterial small subunit ribosomal RNA
Source: RNAcentral